AGGUCAUUUGAAAAUUUUAAAUUUCAAAUGUGCGAAAUUUAGAUGUAAUUAUCCUUAACUAGAUGAUUUCAAAUGGAAAAAUAGUCAAUUAUAAAGUUGUAUAAUUUCUGAGAUCUACAACUUUUAUUUUUUUUAUUUAUCCGUUCAUGGUUGUUUGAAAAAUUCAAAUUUCAAAUGCGAGAAAUUUUCAAAUAUAAUUUUCCUUUACAAGAUGAUUUUAAAUGAAAAAAUUAUCAACUACAAAAUUGUAUAACUUUUUGUCUAUAUUUUUUUUAUUUUGGUUGUUGGUCUAUCUGAUGUCAUUUAAAAAUUUUUAAUUUCAAAUUUGAGAAAUUCAAAUAUAAUUUUCUUUAACAAAAUAAUUUCAAAUGAAAAAACUAUCAACUAGAAGUUCUAUAACUUUUUGAGAUUUAUAGCUUUUAUUUUAGUCAUUUCUCUAUCUGAGAUCGUUUAAAAAAUUUAAUUUUUACUAUUCGGUGUAUAAUUGUAGGGGCGGUUCUAGAUCCGGCACCCCCUACGAUUUUGUAUGGGUUAUUGGAUCUAGAGCUGCCCCUACAAAUAGGGCCAUUUGUUGAGAGUGGCUAAUAGCACCAACAGCCUCGUAGAUUGAGCUAUUUGUAGGGGUGGCUCAUUUAGGGAACUACUCCCUCCAGUCCAGUAUAUCUGGCGUGAGCAAGUUUUUAGCUUAGGCCAAGGUCUUGUUUAGUUCCAAAAUAUUUUGCAAAAUCAACACUGUAGUUUUUUCGUUUGUAUUUGACAAAUAUUGUCCAAUUAUGGACUAACUAGGCUCAAAAGAUUCGUCUCGUCAAUUUCGACCAAACUGUGUAAUUAGUUUUUAUUUUUGUCUAUAUUUAAUACUUCAUGCAUGUGUCUAAAGAUU
This 880-nucleotide long non-coding RNA is filed under the name Sorghum bicolor (sorghum). RNAcentral's name for it is "long non-coding RNA (SBIC_LNC002015)". Lineage: Eukaryota; Viridiplantae; Streptophyta; Magnoliopsida; Poales; Poaceae. The record is from RNAcentral.